CCCUUAGAUGUCCUGGGCCGCACGCGCGUUACACUGAUGCAUUCAACGAGCUUAUAACCUUGGCCGAGAGGCCUGGGCAAUCUUGUUAAUGUGCAUCGUGAUAGGGAUAGAUUAUUGAAAUUAUUAAUCUUGAACGAGGAAUUCCUAGUAAACGCAGAUCAUCAAUCUGCAUUGAUUACGUCCCUGCCCUUUGUACACACCGCCCGUCGCACCUACCGAUUGGAUGGUCCGGUGAAGCCUCGGGAUUGUGGUUCUUGCCGCUUUAUUGUAGCGUGACCGCGAGAACUUGUCUAAACCUUAUCAUCUAGAGGAAGGUGAAGUCGUAACA
Molecule: ribosomal RNA, 328 nt
Filed under: uncultured eukaryote
Lineage: Eukaryota
Description: partial 18S ribosomal RNA
Rfam family: Eukaryotic small subunit ribosomal RNA
Source: RNAcentral